Molecule: ribosomal RNA, 253 nt
Filed under: uncultured bacterium
Lineage: Bacteria
Description: partial 16S ribosomal RNA
Rfam family: Bacterial small subunit ribosomal RNA
Source: RNAcentral
UACAGAGGGGGCAAGCGUUGUUCGGAAUUACUGGGCGUAAAGGGCGCGUAGGCGGCCUGUUAAGUCGAACGUGAAAUCCCCAGGCUUAACCUGGGAACUGCGUCGGAUACUGGAUGGCUUGAAUCCGGGAGAGGGAUGCGGAAUUCCAGGUGUAGCGGUGAAAUGCGUAGAUAUCUGGAGGAACACCGGUGGCGAAGGCGGCAUCCUGGACCGGCAUUGACGCUGAGGAGCGAAAGCCAGGGGAGCAAACGGG